ACCGGCUCCUAAUAAUCUUCCUACACCCCUAGAUGACUCUCUGAAUCCUAACUUUACAAAUCAAAGCUUCAUCCUAUUCCAUGAUUACUCAUUCAACAUGUCGGAACCGUAGCUCAGAUCCCUAAUUUCCCCCCGAAAACCUUGAACCCUAAAUUUUUGGUCAGGUUUGGUGUUCGAUUCUGAUAAGCAUUUUUCCAUGUUCCUUUAGGUUUGCUGGAGUUCUUGUAAGUGGUUGUACUUUAUGUUUAAGUUGUGUUUUGUACAGUUUGUGUUGUAUAAUAGGUUAAUUUGAUUGUAACUUUUGUCCAUUAAUGUUCACAUUUAAUCUCAAAGAAGCACACACAUGUGUGUAAUUAGAGAGUCUGAGAAAGAUACAGGGAGGAAUCAAGAGGCAGAGUGGCCACAACGGCGGCGUAUCGACGGAGCGGUGGUGGAGUCAGCGGAGUUGUGGCAGCGCCCUCUCAUUCAGAUAGGUGAAAUAAGAACCCGAGUAAACCCAGAAGACUCACGUUCCUGAAGUUUUAUGUUCAAGGUUAUGUUAUUGGAAUCAUCAUCGAUAGUGGAAGUAAUAUGGCGGUGGAUCGAAGGAGGGGAUCAAAGUUCCCGGCAAAAACAGUGGCGUGGUUUUUUCACUGGAAUCAAGACCUAUCAAAUAUCAAAGGUAGUGUUCGGAUGGUUUAGGGUCCGAAACGAGAGAAUACAAGGAGUUUAAGGUAAGAAUUAACGUGUUGGUUGCUAAAGCUAUGAAGAAGCCUGAAGUAGGUUGGGUCAUGCAAGACGGGACACCAUGGCCCGGUAAUGACAGUCUAGAUCACCCAG
Molecule: long non-coding RNA, 819 nt
Organism: Helianthus annuus (common sunflower)
Lineage: Eukaryota; Viridiplantae; Streptophyta; Magnoliopsida; Asterales; Asteraceae
Exons: 4
Source: RefSeq, a predicted model, not a curated record